GUUGUCGCGUAUCCUAACGGGCUUUGCGACAGCCGUUGUUUAAACCGACCUAUUUAUUUUUUAGGAGAUCAAUAGUGGCCCGUAUUGCUGGCAUUAAUGUGCCUGAU
This 107-nucleotide small RNA is filed under the name Succinatimonas hippei. RNAcentral's name for it is "Alpha operon ribosome binding site". It matches the Rfam family "Alpha operon ribosome binding site". From Rfam's summary of the family: The bacterial alpha operon ribosome binding site is surrounded by this complex pseudoknotted structure. The record is from RNAcentral. Lineage: Bacteria; Pseudomonadati; Pseudomonadota; Gammaproteobacteria; Aeromonadales; Succinivibrionaceae.